This is a non-coding RNA of 371 nucleotides. It matches the Rfam family "transfer-messenger RNA". Rfam says of the family: Bacterial tmRNA, also known as 10Sa RNA or SsrA, is named for its dual tRNA and mRNA-like properties. Its role is to liberate the mRNA from a stalled ribosome. The record is from Rfam.
GGGGAUGAUCGGUUUCGACAUCGCCUGUGACUCUGCGUGAAGCGGGCCGAGGAUGCAGGGUUAUCUCGUGAACGCUCCCUGCAAAACCAUAACUGCCGAAAAGAAGCAGUCCGCGUUCGCCCUCGCUGCCUGAGCAGCGAGCCCGACGCCGUCAAUCCGUGACUGAUCCCGUCACGGGUAUUGGCGUCAUCUAGGGAUCUAGCUGCGUGACGUCGCCUGAGCGUCACGCGGGACUUUCUUCAGGCUGGGCCCGUCGACUUAGGUGUCUGUGACAAAGGUCGGGGCCGAGCAGAACGCUUCUACAGACUGCGCCCGGAGAAACCGCAGUAUUGCAGCGUUGGACGGGGGUUCGAUUCCCCCCAUCUCCACCA